Long non-coding RNA from Mugil cephalus (flathead mullet), 1430 nucleotides. RefSeq lists it as uncharacterized. Lineage: Eukaryota; Metazoa; Chordata; Actinopteri; Mugiliformes; Mugilidae. The record is from RefSeq and is a predicted model, not a curated record. The transcript is spliced from 4 exons.
UUCAGAUUGGUUUUCUCCCGGUAAUGAAAAUAGAAACUGCUGCAUCAUGAAGUAAAAUACCCUCAAUCAUGCAUGAAUUCAGUAGUGCAGAAGAGAUGGAGCGUUGAAACUCACGCUGACUGAAAGUUCUGCCUAUGGAGAGGGCUCAUUUGAAUGCAGUUGAUGGAGUGUGAUUUUUGUCUGUGCACAGUCCGUAAAGAAGGCUUUGCCCAUCUCAUGAUAAAUAUCAUUCUCCGUAUGUUUACUUCCUCGGAUAAACCAUUUUGCCUGCGUUAAAGCGACUGAUAUGGGUUUACACAAAUUUGUUUUUACCGGAAACGGUGGAACAUUGCAAAUAAUCCUGCCACUAGUAUCUCUUACUGUUACACCUACAGGAAACAAAAGCUCUGCAAUUGCACACUUUUUUUUUCUACCAGGAAAUACACUCAGGAAUGUCAGACACGGUGAGGCAUUCUGUUUCUCACUUAUUACAUUUUCUGUUAUGUUUCACAGGAAGGAUGUAUGAGAUAAUCACACUCAGCAUGCUCUGCAGAUCCCCGUUAUCUGUGCUGCCCCUGCAGACGAGCCAGUGGAUGCUGGCACAGGUACCGUAGAUGGCAAUAAAGAGCUGAAUGCAGUUGAUAGUCACGGAGGUGAUUGGACAUUAUUUUUUUCCCCAAUCUACACCAAACAAUGUGUACAAUAUCUUACAGUAAAAGUAAACUCUUAGUUAAAAUGUGUCAGGUUAAGAGAUAUGUCUGUGUGACAAGUGAAGAAUGUGCACGACGAGUUAAAAGGGAAAGACAAAUAUGUCGAACAGUCUACUAAGGCCACUAGAGUAACAGUCAACAAAGUGUAAAAUCUGUUGUUUAUUCUAUGUUUGGUUCGCUUUCACAGUGUUUUAACAUGAGCCAGCAUGAUCUGUUAUCAGCAAGAAAGCCUUGAUCUGUUAUACUAUAUCGAUUGCUUUUGUCUUGCUCCAUUUAGCGCUAAUUUCUCCCGUUCUAGUAAACGCUCUACCUGAGGAGACACACGCAAUUUAUUCUCGUUUUCCAGGAGCGAAGACGAAGGUGGACAUUCCGAAGCCUGGAGCCUGGAAAAUCAAUCAGGAACAAAGGAGAUCCAUACCAAAAUCAACAUUCAACCAGCGGUGCAUCAGAGCCAGCGGCUGCCCAGAGGGCGGGAGGAUGGACGUCCAGCUCCAGCAAGGCCAUUCGGCUAUCAGGAUAGCAGAGACAGGCACGGAGCCUGGUGCCGGGCUGCGAGAGCCACGGCCUGCAGGGGAGUCCCGUUUGAUGUGGAGCAUGCCUCAUCAACCUGUGCCUCAGUCAGUGAUCUCCCAGAAUGACUCCAACCAGCUGCUACAGAAAAAGCUUCUCACGACAGACACAAACGGUUAUGGAUGAUUCCUUCCCAUCCAGGUGGGACAAGCCUCAUUAAUUGUGAAACUA